RNAcentral lists this ribosomal RNA (443 nucleotides) under uncultured bacterium. Its description in RNAcentral is "partial 16S ribosomal RNA". It matches the Rfam family "Bacterial small subunit ribosomal RNA", at positions 338 to 795 of the family's 1533-position model. The record is from RNAcentral.
CCUACUGGUGACUGCAGUGGGGAAUAUUGGGCAAUGGGCUCAAGCCUGACCCAGCAACGCCGCGUGAAUGAAGAAGGCUUUCGGGUUGUAAACUUCUUUUCUCCUGGACGAAGCAAGUGACGGUACCUGAGGAAUAAGCCACGGCUAACUACGUGCCAGCAGCCGCGGUAAUACGUAGGUGGCAAGCGUUAUACGGAUUUACUGGGUGUAAAGGGCGUGUAGGCGGGACUGCAAGUCAGAUGUGAAAACCACGGGCUCAACCUGUGGCCUGCAUUUGAAACUGUAGUUCGUGAGUACUGGAGAGGCAGACGGAAGUCCUAGUGUAGCGGGGAAAUGCGUAGAGAUUAGGAGGAACACCAGUGGCGAAGGCGGUCUGAUGGACAGCAACUGACGCUGAGGCGCGAAAGCGUGGGGAGCAAACAGGAUUAGAUACCCUAGUAGUC